Molecule: ribosomal RNA, 738 nt
Filed under: Shigella sonnei
Lineage: Bacteria; Pseudomonadati; Pseudomonadota; Gammaproteobacteria; Enterobacterales; Enterobacteriaceae
Description: partial 23S ribosomal RNA
Rfam family: Bacterial large subunit ribosomal RNA
Source: RNAcentral
CUUUAAUGUUUGAUGUUCUAACGUGGACCCGUGAUCCGGGUUGCGGACAGUGUCUGGUGGGUAGUUUGACUGGGGCGGUCUCCUCCUAAAGAGUAACGGAGGAGCACGAAGGUUGGCUAAUCCUGGUCGGACAUCAGGAGGUUAGUGCAAUGGCAUAAGCCAGCUUGACUGCGAGCGUGACGGCGCGAGCAGGUGCGAAAGCAGGUCAUAGUGAUCCGGUGGUUCUGAAUGGAAGGGCCAUCGCUCAACGGAUAAAAGGUACUCCGGGGAUAACAGGCUGAUACCGCCCAAGAGUUCAUAUCGACGGCGGUGUUUGGCACCUCGAUGUCGGCUCAUCACAUCCUGGGGCUGAAGUAGGUCCCAAGGGUAUGGCUGUUCGCCAUUUAAAGUGGUACGCGAGCUGGGUUUAGAACGUCGUGAGACAGUUCGGUCCCUAUCUGCCGUGGGCGCUGGAGAACUGAGGGGGGCUGCUCCUAGUACGAGAGGACCGGAGUGGACGCAUCACUGGUGUUCGGGUUGUCAUGCCAAUGGCACUGCCCGGUAGCUAAAUGCGGAAGAGAUAAGUGCUGAAAGCAUCUAAGCACGAAACUUGCCCCGAGAUGAGUUCUCCCUGACCCUUUAAGGGUCCUGAAGGAACGUUGAAGACGACGACGUUGAUAGGCCGGGUGUGUAAGCGCAGCGAUGCGUUGAGCUAACCGGUACUAAUGAACCGUGAGGCUUAACCUUACAACGCCGAAG